This 210-nucleotide small RNA is filed under the name Nocardioides lianchengensis. Its description in RNAcentral is "Nocardioides sp. D94-1 Actinobacteria sRNA Ms_IGR-5". It matches the Rfam family "Actinobacteria sRNA Ms_IGR-5". The record is from Rfam by way of RNAcentral. Lineage: Bacteria; Bacillati; Actinomycetota; Actinomycetes; Propionibacteriales; Nocardioidaceae.
ACACGGGAAAGGAGGUGGUCCGAAGAAUGAGUUCUUUUAGGACGCGUGAGGUGGCUGCCCGCUAGCAGCCCCAGCAGGACGACGGGGCGGAAGCGCCCCUGACGCUGCUGGCGAAUACCAAGCAGCUACCCGACCCGCAGGCGAACCGGGACCACGUCCCCCGGUGCGGUCCGGACCCCGGUCCGGCACCACGCCUGCGGGUCGCUUCAU